RNAcentral lists this ribosomal RNA (929 nucleotides) under Draconarius kayasanensis. RNAcentral describes it as "SSU rRNA". It matches the Rfam family "Eukaryotic small subunit ribosomal RNA", at positions 37 to 955 of the family's 1831-position model. The record is from RNAcentral. Lineage: Eukaryota; Metazoa; Arthropoda; Arachnida; Araneae; Agelenidae.
UGCGAGAUAGCCANGCANGUCUAGUACGUGCCGCAUUAAGGCGAAACCGCGAAUGGCUCAUUAAAUCAGUCAUGGUUCCUUGGAUCGUACCUCACUACUUGGAUAACUGUGGCAAUUCUAGAGCUAAUACAUGCAGCAGAGCUCCGACCUUCGGGGACGAGCGCUUUUAUUAGACCAAAACCAAUCGGACCUCGUGUCCGUCCUCCGUGGUGACUCUGUAUAACUUUGGGCUGAUCGCACGGGCCCGUCCCGGCGACGUAUCCUUCAAGUGUCUGCCUUAUCAACUUUCGAUGGUAGGUUACGCGCCUACCAUGGUCGUAACGGGUAACGGGGAAUCAGGGUUCGAUUCCGGAGAGGGAGCCUGAGAAACGGCUACCACAUCCAAGGAAGGCAGCAGGCGCGCAAAUUACCCACUCCCGGAACGGGGAGGUAGUGACGAAAAAUAACAAUACGGGACUCUUUUGAGACCCCGUAAUUGGAAUGAGUACACCCUAAAUCCUUUAACGAGGAUCCAUUGGAGGGUAAGUCUGGUGCCAGCAACCGCGGUAAUUCCAGCUCCAAUAGCGUAUAUUAAAGUUGUUGCGGUUAAAAAGCUCGUAGUUGGAUCUCAGUUCCAGACGGGCUGUCCGCCUACCGGUGGUUACGGACCGUUCUGAACAGUCGGCCGGUUUCCCUUGAUGAUCUUCACCGGUUGUCUUGGGUGACCGGCAAGUUUACUUUGAAAAAAUUAGAGUGCUCAAAGCAGGCGUGACGCCUGGAUAAUGGUGCAUGGAAUAAUGGAAUAGGACCUCGGUUCUAUUUUGUUGGUUCUCGGAACACGAGGUAAUGAUUAAGAGGGACAGACGGGGGCAUUCGUAUUGCGACGCUAGAGGUGAAAUUCUUGGACCGUCGCAAGACGACUAUGCANANUUUUUUUUUNNNGGAAAAAA